This 368-nucleotide long non-coding RNA is filed under the name Brassica napus (rape). RNAcentral describes it as "long non-coding RNA (BNAP_LNC005693)". The record is from RNAcentral. Lineage: Eukaryota; Viridiplantae; Streptophyta; Magnoliopsida; Brassicales; Brassicaceae.
UUCAGAUUUUUCAAAGAAUAUUUUAUUCUGAGGUUAAUUAUCACGAGCGCUACUAAUUAAUCCAAAAAUGAAGUUAAUUCCAUUGAUGUGUAUCGUCUUUGUCGUGAUGUUGACAUCAUUCCCUGCUAAGAUUAAGAGUGAUUGCCUUAAAACUCUUCAGUCAUGCCUGCGCCAAGAGCCUAAAAAUAACCAGGGGAAGGCAAAAUGUCAGUUUGGAAUAGAAAUGUCACGCCAACAACAUUAGCAUGUGUAUGUCGUGUAAUGAACAAUCCUCAUGACAGAUCAAUUUUUACCCGAGUUCUAAAAGCUUGUGGAUUAGGAGAUUUUCAAUUCAAGUGUUAACAAUACGGGCAUAAAAUAGUCAAACC